AACGCAAAUUGCACUCCCUGGCAUUCCGGGGAGUAUGCCUGUUUGAGGGUCAGUUUAAAUAAAUAUCGUGGUGUUGCUUUUUGUGACGCUUCGGAAUUGGGCCUUCUUGAUCCUAUGGGUUAAGUGACCUAAAAUUGAUGUAUCUCUGUGCAUCUUGGACGUACAUAAGAAUUUUUUUUCCUAUCCGUCAGGGUUGCCAGGUCCUUAUUAGGUAUGAUCACGUUGUUUGUGAAAUCUGUACCUAUAAUGUAACUCAUAUUUUGACCUCAAAUCAGGUAGGAAUACCCGCUGAACUUAA
Molecule: unclassified non-coding RNA, 298 nt
Filed under: uncultured Glomerales
Lineage: Eukaryota; Fungi; Glomeromycota; Glomeromycetes; Glomerales; Glomeraceae
Description: sequence contains 5.8S rRNA gene, ITS2, 28S rRNA gene
Source: RNAcentral